GCCUCAUUAGCUCAGUGGUAGAGCAGUUGGCUGUUAACCAAUUGGUCGGUGGUUCAAAUCCUCCAUGAGGCGCCA
RNAcentral lists this transfer RNA (75 nucleotides) under Mycoplasmataceae bacterium. Its description in RNAcentral is "tRNA-Asn". It matches the Rfam family "tRNA". Rfam says of the family: Transfer RNA (tRNA) molecules are approximately 80 nucleotides in length. The record is from RNAcentral. Lineage: Bacteria; Bacillati; Mycoplasmatota; Mollicutes; Mycoplasmatales; Mycoplasmataceae.